This 253-nucleotide ribosomal RNA is filed under the name uncultured bacterium. RNAcentral's name for it is "partial 16S ribosomal RNA". It matches the Rfam family "Bacterial small subunit ribosomal RNA", at positions 524 to 776 of the family's 1533-position model. The record is from RNAcentral.
UACGUAGGGUGCAAGCGUUGUCCGGAAUUAUUGGGCGUAAAGAGCUCGUAGGCGGUCUGUCGCGUCUGCUGUGAAAACUCAGGGCUUAACCCUGAGCUUGCAGUGGGUACGGGCAGACUAGAGUGCGGUAGGGGAGACUGGAAUUCCUGGUGUAGCGGUGAAAUGCGCAGAUAUCAGGAGGAACACCUAUGGCGAAGGCAGCUCGCUGGGACGGUAUUGACGCUGAGACGCGAAAGCGUGGGGGGCGAACAGG